This 253-nucleotide ribosomal RNA is filed under the name uncultured bacterium. RNAcentral's name for it is "partial 16S ribosomal RNA". It matches the Rfam family "Bacterial small subunit ribosomal RNA", at positions 524 to 776 of the family's 1533-position model. The record is from RNAcentral.
UACAUAGGGUGCAAGCGUUGUCCGGAAUUAUUGGGCGUAAAGAGCUCGUAGGCGGUUUGUCGCGUCUGCUGUGAAAACUGGAGGCUCAACCUCCAGCCUGCAGUGGGUACGGGCAGACUAGAGUGCGGUAGGGGAGAUUGGAAUUCCUGGUGUAGCGGUGGAAUGCGCAGAUAUCAGGAGGAACACCGAUGGCGAAGGCAGAUCUCUGGGCCGUAACUGACGCUGAGGAGCGAAAGCGUGGGGAGCGAACAGG